RNAcentral lists this ribosomal RNA (370 nucleotides) under uncultured bacterium. RNAcentral's name for it is "bacterial SSU rRNA". It matches the Rfam family "Bacterial small subunit ribosomal RNA", at positions 527 to 896 of the family's 1533-position model. The record is from RNAcentral.
GUAUGGUGCAAGCGUUAUCCGGAUUUACUGGGUGUAAAGGGAGCGUAGACGGAGUGGCAAGUCUGAUGUGAAAACCCGGGGCUCAACCCCGGGACUGCAUUGGAAACUGUCAAUCUAGAGUACCGGAGAGGUAAGCGGAAUUCCUAGUGUAGCGGAGAAAUGCGUAGAUAUUAGGAGGAACACCAGUGGCGAAGGCGGCUUACUGGACGGUAACUGACGUUGAGGCUCGAAAGCGUGGGGAGCAAACAGGAUUAGAUACCCUGGUAGUCCACGCCGUAAACGAUGACUACUAGGUGUCGGGCAGCAAAGCUGUUCGGUGCCGCAGCAAACGCAAUAAGUAGUCCACCUGGGGAGUACGUUCGCAAGAAUG